GAUGAACGCUGGCGGCGUGCCUAAUACAUGCAAGUCGAGCGAAUGGAUUAAGAGCUUGCUCUUAUGAAGUUAGCGGCGGACGGGUGAGUAACACGUGGAUAACCUGCCCAUAAGACUAGGAUAACUCCGGGAAACCGGGGCUAAUACCGGAUAACAUUUUGAACCGCAUGGUUCGAAAUUGAAAGGCGGCUUCGGCUGUCACUUAUGGAUGGACCCGCGUCGCAUUAGCUAGUUGGUGAGGUAACGGCUCACAAAGGCAACGAUGCGUAGCCGACCUGAGAGGGUGAUCGGCCACACUGGGACUGAGACACGGCCCAGACUCCUACGGGAGGCAGCAGUAGGGAAUCUUCCGCAAUGGACGAAAGUCUGACGGAGCAACGCCGCGUGAGUGAUGAAGGCUUUCGGGUCGUAAAACUCUGUUGUUAGGGAAGAACAAGUGCUAGUUGAAUAAGCUGGCACCUUGACGGUACCUAACCAGAAAGCCACGGCUAACUACGUGCCAGCCGCCGCCGUAA
Molecule: ribosomal RNA, 515 nt
Filed under: uncultured bacterium
Lineage: Bacteria
Description: partial 16S ribosomal RNA
Rfam family: Bacterial small subunit ribosomal RNA
Source: RNAcentral